UAUCUCUGUAGAGUCUGCAUAUCAAUAAGCGGAGGAAAAGAAACUAACUAGGAUUCCCUUAGUAACGGCGAGUGAAGCGGGAAGAGCUCAAAUUUGAAAUCUUCAAGGUUCUACCUUGACGAAUUGUAGUUUAAAGAAGUGUUUUCUGUUAGAUGAGUAGCAAAAGUUCCUUGGAAUGGGACAUCAUAGAGGGUGAGAAUCCCGUAUUUGGUUAUUCAUUCUAGCUUUGUGAUACACUUUCAAAGAGUCGGAUUGUUUGGGAAUGCAGUCCAAAAUGGGUGGUAAAUUUCAUCUAAAGCUAAAUAUUGGCGAGAGACCGAUAGCGAACAAGUACCGUGAGGGAAAGAUGAAAAGAACUUUGAAAAGAGAGUUAAACAGUACGUGAAAUUGUCAAAAGGGAAGCGUUUGACACCAGUGUUGUUUUCUCGAAAAUCAAUUAAAAAAAGUUGGAUUUUGUAUUGUUAAGACCUUAUCAGCUUACUGUACUCUUUUCUUGCUUUUUUUAAUGCACUUUUCGUUUAACAAGUCAACAUCAAUUUCUUUUGUUGUAAAAGGGUCAUUGGAAGGUGGCUUUCUUUUCGGAGAAAGUGUUUAUAGCCUUUGGCCUCUGCAAUCGGAGGGAUUGAGGUCUGCAGCGUAGAUCCUUCGGGGUUAGAUACAUUUGUGCUAAGUUAUAGCCUUUCAUAGACAACUUGUUGACUAUGAUCAGUCAUGUAGCUUACUCGCUUAUGCUAUUUUACCUACGCUUAGGAUGUUGAAGAUGUAGCACAUCAU
Molecule: ribosomal RNA, 774 nt
Filed under: uncultured Neocallimastigales
Lineage: Eukaryota; Fungi; Neocallimastigomycota; Neocallimastigomycetes; Neocallimastigales
Description: partial large subunit ribosomal RNA
Rfam family: Eukaryotic large subunit ribosomal RNA
Source: RNAcentral